AGUGAACGCUGGCGGCGUGCCUAACACAUGCAAGUCGCGCGGGACUACGCAGAGUAUCGCGUAGUUUAGCGGCAAACGGGUGAGUAACACGUAGGAAACCUCCCUCAAAAUGGGGAAUAUCUCCGAGAAAUCGGAGUCAAUACCGCAUAAGACCACAGUUUGGCAUCAAAUAGGGGUCAAAGCAGUAAUGCGUUUUGAGAUGGUCCUGCGGCCUAUCAGCUAGUUGGUGGGGUAACUGCCUACCAAGGCUAUGACGGGUAUCCGGCCUGAAAGGGUGAACGGACACACUGGAACUGAGACACGGUCCAGACUCCUACGGGAGGCAGCAGUGGGGAAUUUUGGACAAUGGGGGAAACCCUGAUCCAGCGACGCCGCGUGGAGGAUGAAGGUCUUCGGAUUGUAAACUCCUUUUAGAGGGGAAGAAAAAAAUGACGGUACCCUCAGAAAAAGCCACGGCUAACUACGUGCCAGCAGCCGCGGUAAUACGUAGGUGGCGAGCGUUACUCGGAAUUACUAGGCGUAAAGCGUAUGUAGGCGGUUAGAUAAGUCUUUAGUGAAAUUUCUCUGCUUAACAGGGAAAGGUCUAAGGAUACUGUUUGACUUGAGUGUUGGAUGGGGAGACGGAAUUCCUGGUGUAGCGGUGAAAUGCGUAGAUAUCAGGAGGAACACCAAUGGCGAAAGCAGUCUCCUGGCCAAAUACUGACGCUAAGGUACGAAAGCUAGGGUAGCAAACAGGAUUAGAUACCCUGGUAGUCCUAGCUGUAAACGAUGUUCACUAGAUGUGGGAGGUAUCGACCCCUUCCGCGUCGACGCUAACGCAUUAAGUGAACCGCCUGAGGAGUACGGCCGCAAGGUUGAAACUCAAAGGAAUUGACGGGGGCCCGCACAAGCGGUGGACUAUGUGGUUUAAUUCGACGCAACGCGAAAAACCUUACCUGGGCUUGAACUGCUAAUGGUAAAAGCCGGAAACGGUGAUGACCCGCAAGGGAGUUAGUAGAGGUGCUGCAUGGCUGUCGUCAGCUCGUGUCGUGAGAUGUUGGGUUAAGUCCCGCAACGAGCGUAACCCUUAUCCUAUGUUACUUGUAAUUAUACAAGGUCUCUUAGGAAACUGCCAUUGAUAAAAUGGAGGAAGGUGGGGAUAACGUCAAGUCAUCAUGGCCCUUAUGUCCAGGGCUACACACGUACUACAAUGGUUGGUACAAAAGGAAACGAUAUCGUAAGAUGGAGUAAAUCCUCAAAACCAAUCUCAGUCCGGAUUGUGGGCUGCAAUUCGCCCACAUGAAGUAGGAAUCGCUAGUAAUCGCAGAUCAGCAAGCUGCGGUGAAUACGUUCCCGGGCCUUGUACACACCGCCCGUCACACCACGAAAGUCAGUUGUAACAGAAGUCAUUGAUCUAACCUUGAAAAAGGAAGUAAAUGCCUAAGUUAUGGUUGGCGAUUGGGGUG
RNAcentral lists this ribosomal RNA (1445 nucleotides) under uncultured Elusimicrobia bacterium. Its description in RNAcentral is "bacterial SSU rRNA". It matches the Rfam family "Bacterial small subunit ribosomal RNA". The record is from RNAcentral. Lineage: Bacteria; Pseudomonadati; Elusimicrobiota; Elusimicrobia.